AGUGGGGAAUAUUGCACAAUGGGCGCAAGCCUGAUGCAGCCAUGCCGCGUGUAUGAAGAAGGCCUUCGGGUUGUAAAGUACUUUCAGCAGUGAGGAAGGGGUGUACGUUAAUAGCGUGCAUCUUUGACGUUAGCUGCAGAAGAAGCACCGGCUAACUCCGUGCCAGCAGCCGCGGUAAUACGGAGGGUGCGAGCGUUAAUCGGAAUUACUGGGCGUAAAGCGCAUGCAGGUGGUGAGUUAAGUCAGAUGUGAAAGCCCGGGGCUCAACCUCGGAAUUGCAUUUGAAACUGGCUCACUAGAGUACUGUAGAGGGGGGUAGAAUUUCAGGUGUAGCGGUGAAAUGCGUAGAGAUCUGAAGGAAUACCAGUGGCGAAGGCGGCCCCCUGGACAGAUACUGACACUCAGAUGCGAAAGCGUGGGGAGCAAA
Molecule: ribosomal RNA, 427 nt
Filed under: uncultured Vibrio sp.
Lineage: Bacteria; Pseudomonadati; Pseudomonadota; Gammaproteobacteria; Vibrionales; Vibrionaceae
Description: bacterial SSU rRNA
Rfam family: Bacterial small subunit ribosomal RNA
Source: RNAcentral